This 448-nucleotide ribosomal RNA is filed under the name uncultured bacterium. RNAcentral's name for it is "bacterial SSU rRNA". It matches the Rfam family "Bacterial small subunit ribosomal RNA", at positions 29 to 521 of the family's 1533-position model. The record is from RNAcentral.
AGCAAACGCUGGCGGCAGGCUUAACACAUGCAAGUCGAGCGGGCGUAGCAAUACGUCAGCGGCAGACGGGUGAGUAACGCGUGGGAACAUACCUUUUGGUUCGGAACAACACAGGGAAACUUGUGCUAAUACCGGAUAAGCCCUUACGGGGAAAGAUUUAUCGCCGAAAGAUUGGCCCGCGUCUGAUUAGCUAGUUGGUGAGGUAACGGCUCACCAAGGCGACGAUCAGUAGCUGGCUGAGAGGAUGAUCAGCCACAUUGGGACUGAGACACGGCCCAAACUCCUACGGGAGGCAGCAGUGGGGAAUAUUGGACAAUGGGCGAAAGCCUGAUCCAGCCAUGCCGCGUGAGUGAUGAAGGCCCUAGGGUUGUAAAGCUCUUUUGUGCGGGAAGAUAAUGACGGUACCGCAAGAAUAAGCCCCGGCUAACUUCGUGCCAGCAGCCGCCGU